AUACUGCCGAAGAGUCCCAAACUAGGACGAAACAGCUAUCCAGUAU
Non-coding RNA from Trichobilharzia regenti, 46 nucleotides. NCBI's taxonomy places the organism in Eukaryota, Metazoa, Platyhelminthes, Trematoda, Strigeidida, Schistosomatidae. The record is from Rfam.